RNAcentral lists this ribosomal RNA (366 nucleotides) under Mycobacterium sp. Ri481b. RNAcentral describes it as "bacterial SSU rRNA". It matches the Rfam family "Bacterial small subunit ribosomal RNA", at positions 144 to 524 of the family's 1533-position model. The record is from RNAcentral. Lineage: Bacteria; Bacillati; Actinomycetota; Actinomycetes; Mycobacteriales; Mycobacteriaceae.
UAAGCCUGGGAAACUGGGUCUAAUACCGAAUAGGACCGCAUGCUUCAUGGUGUGUGGUGGAAAGCUUUUGCGGUGUGGGAUGGGCCCGCGGCCUAUCAGCUUGUUGGUGAGGUAAUGGCUUACCAAGGCGACGACGGGUAGCCGGCCUGAGAGGGUGACCGGCCACACUGGGACUGAGAUACGGCCCAGACUCCUACGGGAGGCAGCAGUGGGGAAUAUUGCACAAUGGGCGCAAGCCUGAUGCAGCGACGCCGCGUGAGGGAUGACGGCCUUCGGGUUGUAAACCUCUUUCGCCAGGGACGAAGCGCAAGUGACGGUACCUGGAGAAGAAGGACCGGCCAACUACGUGCCAGCAGCCGGGGGUAA